RNAcentral lists this ribosomal RNA (402 nucleotides) under uncultured bacterium. RNAcentral describes it as "bacterial SSU rRNA". It matches the Rfam family "Bacterial small subunit ribosomal RNA", at positions 30 to 416 of the family's 1533-position model. The record is from RNAcentral.
AUUGAACGCUGGCGGCGUGCCUAACACAUGCAAGUCGAGCGGUAACAGGUGUAGCAAUACAUGCUGACGAGCGGCGAACGGGUGAGUAAUGCUUCGGAAUCUGCCCAUGUAGUGGGGAAUAACCAGCCGAAAGGUUGGCUAAUACCGCAUACGACCCUUGCCCACAAGGCAAAGGUGAAAGCAGGGGAUCGCAAGACCUUGCGCUAUUGGAUGAGCCGAAGUCGGAUUAGCUAGUUGGUAGGGUAACGGCCUACCAAGGCGACGAUCCGUAGCUGGUCUGAGAGGACGACCAGCCACACUGGGACUGAGACACGGCCCAGACUCCUACGGGAGGCAGCAGUGGGGAAUAUUGGACAAUGGGCGAAAGCCUGAUCCAGCCAUGCCGCGUGAGUGAUGAAGGCC